UACGGCGGGGGCUAGCGUUGUUCGGAAUUACUGGGCGUAAAGCGCACGUAGGCGGCUUUGCAAGUUAGAGGUGAAAGCCCGGGGCUCAACUCCGGAAUUGCCUUUAAAACUGCAUCGCUAGAAUUGUGGAGAGGUAAGUGGAAUUCCGAGUGUAGAGGUGAAAUUCGUAGAUAUUCGGAAGAACACCAGUGGCGAAGGCGACUUACUGGACACAUAUUGACGCUGAGGUGCGAAAGCGUGGGGAGCAAACAGG
Molecule: ribosomal RNA, 253 nt
Filed under: uncultured bacterium
Lineage: Bacteria
Description: partial 16S ribosomal RNA
Rfam family: Bacterial small subunit ribosomal RNA
Source: RNAcentral